This 459-nucleotide ribosomal RNA is filed under the name Salmonella enterica. RNAcentral's name for it is "bacterial SSU rRNA". It matches the Rfam family "Bacterial small subunit ribosomal RNA", at positions 1 to 456 of the family's 1533-position model. Lineage: Bacteria; Pseudomonadati; Pseudomonadota; Gammaproteobacteria; Enterobacterales; Enterobacteriaceae. The record is from RNAcentral.
AAAUUGAAGAGUUUGAUCAUGGCUCAGAUUGAACGCUGGCGGCAGGCCUAACACAUGCAAGUCGAACGGUAACAGGAAGCAGCUUGCUGCUUUGCUGACGAGUGGCGGACGGGUGAGUAAUGUCUGGGAAACUGCCUGAUGGAGGGGGAUAACUACUGGAAACGGUGGCUAAUACCGCAUAACGUCGCAAGACCAAAGAGGGGGACCUUCGGGCCUCUUGCCAUCAGAUGUGCCCAGAUGGGAUUAGCUUGUUGGUGAGGUAACGGCUCACCAAGGCGACGAUCCCUAGCUGGUCUGAGAGGAUGACCAGCCACACUGGAACUGAGACACGGUCCAGACUCCUACGGGAGGCAGCAGUGGGGAAUAUUGCACAAUGGGCGCAAGCCUGAUGCAGCCAUGGCGCGUGUAUGAAGAAGGCCUUCGGGUUGUAAAGUACUUUCAGCGGGGAGGAAGGUGUUG